GACGAACGCUGGCGGCAUGCCUAAUACAUGCAAGUCGAACGCUGAAGCACUCUGCUUGCAGAGUGCGGAUGAGUGGCGAACGGGUGAGUAACACGUGGGAAAUCUGCCUAUAAGAGGGGGAUAACAUUCGGAAACGGAUGCUAAUACCGCAUAUAUUCUUGGACCGCCUGGUCCUUGAAAGAAAGACGGCUUUGCUGUCGCUUAUAGAUGAUCCCGCGGCGUAUUAGUUAGUUGGUGGGGUAAAGGCCUACCAAGACAAUGAUACGUAGCCGACCUGAGAGGGUGAUCGGCCACACUGGGACUGAGACACGGCCCAGACUCCUACGGGAGGCAGCAGUAGGGAAUCUUCCACAAUGGGCGAAAGCCUGAUGGAGCAAUGCCGCGUGAAUGAAGAAGGUCUUCGGAUCGUAAAGUCCUGUUAUUAGAGAAGAACAAGUCAAGGAGUAACUGUCUUGACUUUGACGGUACCUAACCAGAAAGUCACGGCUAACUACGUG
Molecule: ribosomal RNA, 497 nt
Filed under: uncultured bacterium
Lineage: Bacteria
Description: partial 16S ribosomal RNA
Rfam family: Bacterial small subunit ribosomal RNA
Source: RNAcentral